This 460-nucleotide ribosomal RNA is filed under the name uncultured bacterium. RNAcentral describes it as "partial 16S ribosomal RNA". It matches the Rfam family "Bacterial small subunit ribosomal RNA", at positions 338 to 795 of the family's 1533-position model. The record is from RNAcentral.
CCUACGGGGCGCAGCAGUGAGGAAUAUUGGUCAAUGGACGAGCGUCUGAACCAGCCAAGUAGCGUGAAGGAUGACUGCCCUAUGGGUUGUAAACUUCUUUUAUAUGGGAAUAAAAUGUUCCACGUGUGGGAUUUUGUAUGUACCAUAUGAAUAAGGAUCGGCUAACUCCGUGCCAGCAGCCGCGGUAAUACGGAGGAUCCGAGCGUUAUCCGGAUUUAUUGGGUUUAAAGGGAGCGUAGGUGGAUUUGUAAGUCAGUUGUGAAAGUUUGCGGCUCAACCGUAAAAUUGCAGUUGAAACUGGCAGUCUUGAGUACAGUAGAGGUGGGCGGAAUGCGUGGUGUAGCGGUGAAAUGCUUAGAUAUCACGAAGAACUCCGAUUGCGAAGGCAGUUCACUGGACUGCAACUGACACUGAGGCUCGAAAGUGUGGGUAUCAAACAGGAUUAGAUACCCCUGUAGUC